GAAUGAACCUAGAUAUGCUCAAUUUGAAAAAUACAGUGAUACUGUUUGACAUGUAAUUUCAAAAUGUACAACCAAUUGGCAUGCAAGUGGAAGCUCAUUGAAAGAAUGCGUCGAAGAAGGUGAAAAUCCAUUUUGCCACUUGUAAUGUUGUUGUUUAUGGUGUAUAUUUCAGGAGUCACAUUCCUUGGCAUUGGAAUGCAAUGUGGGUGGUAAACUUCAUGCAAAGAUUAAUAUGUGUUUGAGAUUGAUAGUACACAAAUACCGUGAGGGAAAUAUGAAAAGGACUUUGAAAAGAGAUUUAAAAGAGUUUGCAGUUGCUGAACAAAAAACAAAUAGGAUGUCCACGAUUGAGCAGAUUGUUGAACCUCGGUUUGCUUCGAUUGCUAGCAUGUGUGUAUUCAAUGAUUCUAUCUUUGUCUACCAUACCAUUCUCAGCGUAUCAUGACACUUGCAGGUGCUUCGUGUUUUUGCUUGCGAGCUAAUGACAACACCUGCUUGAGAAUGGUAUGCCAAGUGUUCAUUGUGCUUAGAGUCUGCAUGGUGCUAUUGUUAAGCUGCAGGUUUGAACUUGUGCUUUGAGCUGUGCUCUACCUUUUGCAUAUGUCUAUUGGUGAUCAUAUCCUGCUUGACCCGUC
This 635-nucleotide ribosomal RNA is filed under the name Coolia cf. canariensis. Its description in RNAcentral is "partial large subunit ribosomal RNA". It matches the Rfam family "Eukaryotic large subunit ribosomal RNA", at positions 91 to 653 of the family's 3401-position model. Lineage: Eukaryota; Dinophyceae; Peridiniales; Ostreopsidaceae. The record is from RNAcentral.